GACGAACGCUGGCGGCGUGCCUAAUACAUGCAAGUUGAGCGAUGAAGAUUGGUGCUUGCACCAAUUUGAAGAGCAGCGAACGGGUGAGUAACGCGUGGGUAAUCUGCCUUUGAGCGGGGGACAACAUUUGGAAACGAAUGCUAAUACCGCAUAAUAACUUUAAACAUAAGUUUUAAGUUUGAAAGAUGCAAUUGCAUCACUCAAAGAUGAUCCCGCGUUGUAUUAGCUAGUUGGUGAGGUAAAGGCUCACCAAGGCGAUGAUACAUAGCCGACCUGAGAGGGUGAUCGGCCACAUUGGGACUGAGACAAGGCCCAAAAUCCUACGGGAAGCAGCAGUAGGGAAUCUUCGGCAAUGGACGAAAGUCUGACCGAGCAACGCCGCGUGAGUGGAGAAGGUUUUCGGAUCGUAAAAAUCUGUUGGUAGAGAAGGAAGUUGGUGAGAGUGGAAAGCUCAUCAAGUGACGGUAACUACCCAGAAAGGGACGGCUAACUACGUG
RNAcentral lists this ribosomal RNA (497 nucleotides) under uncultured bacterium. RNAcentral describes it as "partial 16S ribosomal RNA". It matches the Rfam family "Bacterial small subunit ribosomal RNA", at positions 28 to 507 of the family's 1533-position model. The record is from RNAcentral.